RNAcentral lists this ribosomal RNA (479 nucleotides) under uncultured bacterium. RNAcentral's name for it is "partial 16S ribosomal RNA". It matches the Rfam family "Bacterial small subunit ribosomal RNA", at positions 28 to 507 of the family's 1533-position model. The record is from RNAcentral.
GAUGAACGCUAGCGGGAGGCCUAACACAUGCAAGCCGAGCGGUAUUGUUUCUUCUGAAAUGAGGGAGCGGCGUACGGGUGCGUAACACGUGUGCAACCUGCCUUUAUCUGGGGGAUAGCCUUUCGAAAGGAAGAUUAAUACUCCAUAAUAUAUUGAACGGCAUCGUUUAAUAUUGAAAGCUCCGGCGGAUAGAGAUGGGCACGCGCAAGAUUAGCUAGUUGGUGAGGUAACGGCUCACCAAGGCGAUGAUCUUUAGGGGGCCUGAGAGGGUGAUCCCCCACACUGGUACUGAGACACGGACCAGACUCCUACGGGAGGCAGCAGUGAGGAAGAUUGGUCAAUGGGUGCAAGCCUGAACCAGCCAUCCCGUGUGAAGGACGACUGCCCUAUGGGUUGUAAACUUCUUUUGUAUAGGGAUAAACCUACCCUCGAGAGGGUAGCUGAAGGUACUAUACGAAUAAGCACCGGCUAACUCCGUG